CGCCCUUGGAUCCAGACUUGAUCAUGGCUCGGGACGAACGCUGGCGGCGCGCCUAACACAUGCAAGUCGAACGAGAGAGAGGGAGCUUGCUUCCUCGAUCGAGUGGCGAACGGGUGAGUAACGCGUGAGGAACCUGCCUCAAAGAGGGGGACAACAGUUGGAAACGACUGCUAAUACCGCAUAAGCCCACGGCUCGGCAUCGAGCAGAGGGAAAAGGAGCUAUCCGCUUUGAGAUGGCCUCGCGUCCGAUUAGCUAGUUGGUGAGGUAACGGCCCACCAAGGCGACGAUCGGUAGCCGGACUGAGAGGUUGAACGGCCACAUUGGGACUGAGACACGGCCCAGACUCCUACGGGAGGCAGCAGUGGGGAAUAUUGCACAAUGGGGGAAACCCUGAUGCAGCGGCGCCGCGUGGAGGAAGAAGGUCUUCGGAUUGUAAACUCCUGUUGUUGAGGAAGAUAAUGACGGUACUCAACAAGGAAGUGACGGCUAACUACGUGCCAGCAGCCGCGGUAAAACGCAGGUCACAAGCGUUGUCCGGAAUUACUGGGUGUAAAGGGAGCGCAGGCGGGCGAUCAAGUUGGAAGUGAAAUCCAUGGGCUCAACCCAUGAACUGCUUUCAAAACUGAUUGUCUUGAGUAGUGCAGAGGUAGGCGGAAUUCCCGGUGUAGCGGUGGAAUGCGUAGAUAUCGGGAGGAACACCAGUGGCGAAGGCGGCCUACUGGGCACCAACUGACGCUGAGGCUCGAAAGUGUGGGUAGCAAACAGGAUUAGAUACCCUGGUAGUCCACACCGUAAACGAUGAUUACUAGGUGUUGGAGGAUUGACCCCUUCAGUGCCGCAGUUAACACAAUAAGUAAUCCACCCGGGGAGUACGACCGCAAGGUUGCAACUCAA
RNAcentral lists this ribosomal RNA (895 nucleotides) under uncultured bacterium. RNAcentral's name for it is "bacterial SSU rRNA". It matches the Rfam family "Bacterial small subunit ribosomal RNA", at positions 1 to 904 of the family's 1533-position model. The record is from RNAcentral.